RNAcentral lists this ribosomal RNA (335 nucleotides) under uncultured bacterium. RNAcentral's name for it is "bacterial SSU rRNA". It matches the Rfam family "Bacterial small subunit ribosomal RNA", at positions 32 to 346 of the family's 1533-position model. The record is from RNAcentral.
AAUCAACGCUGGCGGCGUGCCUCAGACAUGCAAGUCGAACGCGAAAGUUCCCUUCGGGGGGCGAGUAGAGUGGCGCACGGGUGAGUAACACGUAGGUAAUCUACCUUUGGGUGGGGAAUAACAGCCGGAAACGGCUGCUAAUACCGCAUAAUGCAGCGGCUCGACAUCGAGACAGUUGUUAAAGCGGGGGAUCGCAAGACCUCGCGCCUAAAGAGGAGCCUGCGGCGGAUUAGCUUGUUGGUGAGGUAAUGGCUCACCAAGGCAUCGAUCCGUAGCCGGCCUGAGAGGGCGGUCGGCCACACUGACACUGACAUACGGGUCAGACUCCUACGGGA